Molecule: small RNA, 111 nt
Filed under: Phyllobacterium trifolii
Lineage: Bacteria; Pseudomonadati; Pseudomonadota; Alphaproteobacteria; Hyphomicrobiales; Phyllobacteriaceae
Description: ar14
Rfam family: Alphaproteobacterial ar14
About the family: Smr14C2 was renamed NfeR1 (Nodule Formation Efficiency RNA) highly expressed in salt stress and during the symbiotic interaction on legume roots.
Source: RNAcentral
GAUUAACCUCCGGGACGUUCCUCCCAAGUCACGGAUGGUCUAGAGAUCGGUCUCCUCCCAGCCGGUCUUUACAAGUAACACCCACCGCUCCUCCCGCGGUGGGUGUUGUUU